This is a non-coding RNA of Arachis ipaensis, 1752 nucleotides long. Lineage: Eukaryota; Viridiplantae; Streptophyta; Magnoliopsida; Fabales; Fabaceae. The record is from RefSeq and is a predicted model, not a curated record.
AUAUAUGAUUGAAAUUCUGUGAUAUUUUAUAACGAAAACAAGAUAUUAAGCCGCCUAAAAUCCUAAAACUUUGAAUAAGAUAUACCAUUGAAAUUCUGCAAAUAUAGCUGAAUGUUUCAUUAUGAAUUUCGGUGCAGCUCUAGUUUCCCACUUUUUUUAAACCAGCAAUAUUAAAGAAUGAAAGCAUUAAAUACAACAAUAAAGGUUAAAAGAAGUAAGAACCAGAUGAACCUUUCCAAUUUCCAUGCAGUGGUUGAAUUCAUUGCAUCCUCAAUAUACUCUUCGAAGCAAUGUCCAUUUCUGGUUGUGACAUCCUCUUAAGCUCUUCUUCAAAGCAUCGAAGCUCAUCGAUGGCACUUUCCAUGACACAUUCAAGCCUCAUGAGAUCUUCACUUGUGGAGGGAUCAGAGCUCCUUUCUUGUAAUGCUUGGUUUGAGAGGAAGGUGAACUGGGAAAUGAGGUCUUCCAUUUUUCUUCCUAUGGUGAGGUAAGUGUGAAUUGAAUAAGCAAUUCUAAGAUUGGUUUAGUGCUUGAAUUCACAGGGUAAGGAAUGCUAUCUUAUAUCAUAUCAUAUAUAUCAUUAUAAAGUAUGGGUAUUUUUUACUUUUUAUAAUGUCGAGAAUUCGCGAGAGGGUCACAUGGUUCCAAAUGCAUAUUGGACCAAGUCUUAUGAGUAAAAGCUCUAAUGGGACAGCAAAAUUAGUAAGAUAGAAUGAUUAAAUCUAAUUAUUAGCUCACACUCUAUUCAGUUUGAUGUUGAAGAAAAGGGUUAGAUAAAGGAGCAAAUUGACAUUGAAAUCCAGCUUUUUUUUGUCACCUUUCUUGGGUUUAUAGGUUCAUAAAUAUUUUAUACUUAUCCUUAAUAGAACAUAGAAUCAAUUUAAAUAAAACUUAUACUAAAUUUAAAUUAUAUGGUUUUUUUUAUAUGAUAGUCGAUAUACCUCAUUAUUUUAUGUGAUAGAAUUGAGCCGUUGGAGCUCUUUUGUUAACUUGCUCUCAUUUGGUAAUUAUCACCUUUAUGCAUGGUGCAGAUUAAAAGUAUUAUUUUUUCCCCUUAUCAAACUCAUUAGCGAAAUCUUUGUCACUGUCUAAUAGAAAGUUUAGGGUGGGACCAUAGGUUUGAAAUUUUAAUGUUGUUAUGUUAUUCUGAAAUGCAAAGAAUGUGGAUGCGGACAUUUUGAAUGUUAAGUGUAAGAAUGCUUCCAAAAACAAAAUCACAUGUGGGACACUCGAAUACAUGUGUAGAUUAUGACAGCCCUAACGUGCACUUUUUUUUUGUCAGGGAUCCGGAGCAGACGACCCAAGACCAACCCGCAACCCGACCCGAAUUUCAAACCUGCGAUUCUAUCUUCAUUGCGACGGCUUCCCUUUGCAAACACGACUAGAUGACCGGAAGAGUUCUGGCGAGGUGGACAGCAGCAUCUUCGAACUCGAAUCCCUUGAAUCAAUGGACACAGUGCCUUAGCAGAUAACGUAAACCAUUACGAAGUGUGACGGUUUAUGUUAGAACAUACGUAAAAAAAACUGUUACACUUUUAUAGCGAUUUUUGAACUAACUGAACAAUAAAAUAACUGCAGUGUUUCUUCACAAAUGGCCAGCAUAAGAAACGUGUGAGUUUAUAGUGGUUUCUUCAUAUGAAAAAUGCUAUAAAUAUCAAGUAAUAGUGUAGCAGUAGAUAAUCAUUUUUCACAAAUUCACAAAUGGCUAAUGAGAAGGGUUUUUUAAUUUUAGUCUAUUACUCUGAAAAAAUU